UACGAAGGGGGCUAGCGUUGUUCGGAAUUACUGGGCGUAAAGCGAACGUAGGCGGUGUUCCAUGUCAGAGGUGAAAGCCUGGGGCUCAACUCCAGAAUUGCCUUUGAAACGGGGACGCUUGAGUCCGAGAGAGGAUGGCGGAAUUCCUAGUGUAGAGGUGAAAUUCGUAGAUAUUAGGAAGAACGCCGGUGGCGAAGGCGGCCAUCUGGCUCGGUACUGACGCUCAGGUUCGAAAGCGUGGGGAGCAAACAGG
Molecule: ribosomal RNA, 253 nt
Filed under: uncultured bacterium
Lineage: Bacteria
Description: partial 16S ribosomal RNA
Rfam family: Bacterial small subunit ribosomal RNA
Source: RNAcentral